RNAcentral lists this transfer RNA (85 nucleotides) under Desulfatiglans sp. RNAcentral's name for it is "tRNA-Leu". It matches the Rfam family "tRNA". From Rfam's summary of the family: Transfer RNA (tRNA) molecules are approximately 80 nucleotides in length. Their secondary structure includes four short double-helical elements and three loops (D, anti-codon, and T loops). Further hydrogen bonds mediate the characteristic L-shaped molecular structure. tRNAs have two regions of fundamental functional importance: the anti-codon, which is responsible for specific mRNA codon recognition, and the 3' end, to which the tRNAs corresponding amino acid is attached (by aminoacyl-tRNA synthetases). tRNAs cope with the degeneracy of the genetic code in two manners: having more than one tRNA (with a specific anti-codon) for a particular amino acid; and 'wobble' base-pairing, i.e. permitting non-standard base-pairing at the 3rd anti-codon position. Lineage: Bacteria; Pseudomonadati; Thermodesulfobacteriota; Desulfobacteria; Desulfatiglandales; Desulfatiglandaceae. The record is from RNAcentral.
GCCGGAGUGGUGAAACUGGUAGACGCGCUGGACUCAAAAUCCAGUGAGCUUUACGCUCGUGUCGGUUCAAGUCCGACCUUCGGCA